AAGAAAUAACAAUACAGAACCUUACGGUUUUGUAAUUGGAAUGAGUUAAGUAUAAACCCCUUAACAAGUAUCAAUUGGAGGGCAAGUCUGGUGCCAGCAGCCGCGGUAAUUCCAGCUCCAAUAGCGUAUAUUAAAGUUGUUGCAGUUAAAAAGCUCGUAGUUAAUCUUCUGUUAAUUUUUAUAUAUAAUAUCUCGAUAUUUAUAUAAUAUUAACAUAAUUCAUAUUACUUUUUAGUAUAUGAAACUUUACUUUGAGAAAAUUAGAGUGCUUAAAGCAGGCUAUUGCCUUGAAUACUCCAGCAUGGAAUAAUAUUAAGGAUUUUUAUUCUUCUUAUUGGUUCUAGAAUAAAAAUGAUGAUUAAUAGGAACAGUUGGGGGCAUUUGUAUUUAACAGUCAGAGGUGAAAUUCUUAGAUUUGUUAAAGACAAACUACUGCGAAAGCAUUUGCCAAGGAUGUUUUCAUUAAUCAAGAACGAAAGUUAGGGGAUCGAAGACGAUCAGAUACCGUCGUAGUCUUAACC
RNAcentral lists this ribosomal RNA (521 nucleotides) under Cryptosporidium xiaoi. RNAcentral's name for it is "SSU rRNA". It matches the Rfam family "Eukaryotic small subunit ribosomal RNA", at positions 472 to 1031 of the family's 1831-position model. The record is from RNAcentral. Lineage: Eukaryota; Apicomplexa; Conoidasida; Eucoccidiorida; Cryptosporidiidae.